UCACUUCAGCAGCUCAUAUAGUAAAAUUGAAACCACACAGAGAAGAUUAGCAAGGCCCCUGUGCAAAGAUGACAGGCAAAUUCGUGAAGCAUUCCAUAUUUUU
Small nuclear RNA from Myodes glareolus (Bank vole), 103 nucleotides. Lineage: Eukaryota; Metazoa; Chordata; Mammalia; Rodentia; Cricetidae. The record is from RefSeq and is a predicted model, not a curated record.